AACGAACGCUGGCGGCAGGCCUAACACAUGCAAGUCGAACGCCGUAGCAAUACGGAGUGGCAGACGGGUGAGUAACACGUGGGAACGUACCCUUCGGUUCGGGAUAACUCAGGGAAACUUGAGCUAAUACCGGAUACGUCCGAGAGGAGAGAGAUUUAUUGCCGAGGGAUCGGCCCGCGUCUGAUUAGCUUGUUGGUGAGGUAACGGCUCACCAAGGCGACGAUCAGUAGCUGGCUGAGAGGAUGAUCAGCCACAUUGGGACUGAGACACGGCCCAAACUCCUACGGGAGGCAGCAGUGGGGAAUAUUGGACAAUGGGCGCAAGCCUGAUCCAGCCAUGCCGCGUGAGUGAUGAAGGCCCUAGGGUUGUAAAGC
This 374-nucleotide ribosomal RNA is filed under the name uncultured bacterium. RNAcentral's name for it is "bacterial SSU rRNA". It matches the Rfam family "Bacterial small subunit ribosomal RNA", at positions 29 to 431 of the family's 1533-position model. The record is from RNAcentral.